RNAcentral lists this ribosomal RNA (253 nucleotides) under uncultured bacterium. Its description in RNAcentral is "partial 16S ribosomal RNA". It matches the Rfam family "Bacterial small subunit ribosomal RNA", at positions 524 to 776 of the family's 1533-position model. The record is from RNAcentral.
UACAGAGGUCUCAAGCGUUGUUCGGAUUCAUUGGGCGUAAAGGUUGCGUAGGCGGCGCGGUAAGUCGGGUGUGAAAUCUUGGAGCUUAACUCCGAAACUGCAUUCGAUACUGCCGUGCUUGAGGACUGGAGAGGAGACUGGAAUUUACGGUGUAGCGGUGAAAUGCGUAGAUAUCGUAAGGAAGACCAGUGGCGAAGGCGGGUCUCUGGACAGUUCCUGACGCUGAGGCACGAAGGCCAGGGGAGCAAACGGG